This is a small nuclear RNA of Amblyraja radiata (thorny skate), 160 nucleotides long. RefSeq annotates it as U1 spliceosomal RNA. The record is from RefSeq and is a predicted model, not a curated record. NCBI's taxonomy places the organism in Eukaryota, Metazoa, Chordata, Chondrichthyes, Rajiformes, Rajidae. The transcript has a single exon.
AUACUUACCUGACAGGGGUGAAUCGGUGGUCCCAAUGGCCGUUCUCCCUGGACUAGGCUAUCCCAUAGCACUUCAGAUGUGCUAACACCUGCAAUGUCCCCAAAUGCGAGAUACUCAACUGCAACAUUUGUGGUGGUAACUGCAAACAUGCUAUUAUGUU